Molecule: long non-coding RNA, 292 nt
Organism: Lagenorhynchus albirostris (white-beaked dolphin)
Lineage: Eukaryota; Metazoa; Chordata; Mammalia; Artiodactyla; Delphinidae
Exons: 3
Source: RefSeq, a predicted model, not a curated record
AGGGAAGCCGUGUGGAAAGAGCGGGAGCCAUCCUCAAGCCAGGAGGAGAGGCCCCAGCAGACACCAACCCUGACAGAACCUUGACCUUGGACACCCAGCCUGCAGAACUGUGAGAAGGUGUUCCUUACCUGACUGCAUAACCUGCAUGAGUUUGGAGGACCACAGCACUGUCCCAAGAAGGAAAGCAGGACCUGAUAUGAGGCAGAGCGUUUGCUUCAAUCUGUUCUGGUCGACAGAAGGACCCUUGGUGAUCGGAAGAAAGCCAAAGGGGACACACAGCUGAACCCGAAGC